Molecule: ribosomal RNA, 468 nt
Filed under: uncultured bacterium
Lineage: Bacteria
Description: partial 16S ribosomal RNA
Rfam family: Bacterial small subunit ribosomal RNA
Source: RNAcentral
GACGAACGCUGGCGGCGUGCUUAACACAUGCAAGUCGAACGGAAAGGCCCUGCUUUUGUGGGGUGCUCGAGUGGCGAACGGGUGAGUAACACGUGAGUAACCUGCCCUUGACUUUGGGAUAACUUCAGGAAACUGGGGCUAAUACCGGAUAGGAGCUCCUGCUGCAUGGUGGGGGUUGGAAAGUUUCGGCGGUUGGGGAUGGACUCGCGGCUUAUCAGCUUGUUGGUGGGGUAGUGGCUUACCAAGGCUUUGACGGGUAGCCGGCCUGAGAGGGUGACCGGCAACAUUGGGAAUGAGAGACGGCGCAGAAUCCAACGGGAGGCAGCAGUGGGGAAUAUUGCAAAAUGGGAGGAAGCCUGAUGAAGAAACGCGGCGUGCGGGAUGAAGGCCUUCGGGUUGUAAACCGAUUUCGCCUGUGACGAAGCGUGAGUGACGGUAAUGGGUAAAGAAGCACCGGCUAACUACGUG